RNAcentral lists this ribosomal RNA (254 nucleotides) under uncultured bacterium. RNAcentral describes it as "partial 16S ribosomal RNA". It matches the Rfam family "Bacterial small subunit ribosomal RNA", at positions 524 to 776 of the family's 1533-position model. The record is from RNAcentral.
UACGGGGGGAGCAAGCGUUGUUCGGAUUUACUGGGCGUAAAGGGCGCGUAGGCGGUCAGCACAAGUCAGUUGUGAAAUCUCCGGGCUUAACUCGGAACGGUCAAGUGAUACUGUCGGACUAGAGUACAGAAGGGGCAACUGGAAUUCUCGGUGUAGCGGUGAAAUGCGUAGAUAUCGAGAGGAACACCUGCGGCGAAGGCGGGUUGCUGGGUUGAUACUGACGCUGAGGCGCGAAAGCCAGGGGAGCGAACGGG